This 1022-nucleotide long non-coding RNA is filed under the name Panax ginseng (ginseng). Its description in RNAcentral is "long non-coding RNA (PGIN_LNC006260)". Lineage: Eukaryota; Viridiplantae; Streptophyta; Magnoliopsida; Apiales; Araliaceae. The record is from RNAcentral.
CCAAUACUUCAGCGAGUAUUUGGGGACGGCGGCCUAUUCACCCCUCAAGAACCAGUACAUCCUCUCUAUAGGUUUGGCGCUCAGAGUUUGUAUUCAUCUGGUAUUUGGUACUGGAGUCAAAGGUGGGGUAGCAUACACUCUAAUACGGAGGAUCUGGUAUUGAUGUGGGAAUAGGCUUUUUAUGAUUGGUACUAUUCACGAAUCCUCAUCUCCCUAAUUUCAGCCUCGCUAAUCACGAGAGAUGGGGUGCCCUCGGUUGUAGCAGAAGGGGUGGUUGGAAGGGAGGAGUCGAUGGUGAUGACAGUGGUUCUUUUAGUGGGUUGAUUAUGUUAUUCUUCUAGGAUGGUGUUAGUGGCCAGUAUCGCUGUUGUGGGUUGGACGAUAGAGGUGGUGCAGUGAGGGUUUGGUUAAAGGAGGGAACGGGUUGGACAGAGUGGUCAGCAGACAUGGUUGGUUGAUAGGCAUUGCGAUUUGGUGAAGGAAAUGUGGCUAGAGAGGGUUGUCAUUAUGUGGGAAUGAGGCAAUAUACGCUUGAGCUUUUUGGGAAAGUUUAAAUGAGUGGGUGAGAAGUGACGGUUCGGAUGUGUGGAGGAGACGCUUAAGAGAUAGCAGGCCAUACGAGCACAUUUCCCUAUUUACGGAGCGAGAUGAAAGUGGUGGGUCCCGAUCAAGCAUGUGGCAAACGGUGGCGAUGGUUUGGUUUCUAUAGCUGCAUUAUGUUAUUUGUUGACUAAUUUUUGUAUUAUCUUAUUUUAAGUUUCUUAUAAUAAGAGAGUGGGGGAUAAUGUUAGAGUGUAGUUUGAUGGGUCCGAAAAAUUCAGUGGAACCCUUUUUACGUGGCAUAAUAGUAGGAGAUUUGAAAUUUUAAAAGGUCUACAUUCUAAGUUGACUUAUGACUUCCUUAUUCUAUUUGACUCCCAUUUUUUGAGGAAGUUGAAUUCUAUUCAGUCAUGGGAUUUACGGUUAUCUUUACACAGAAUUCUUAGUCCAAUUGGGGGAAUUGUGGUCAAGGUAUAAAUACA